RNAcentral lists this ribosomal RNA (2771 nucleotides) under human oral metagenome. RNAcentral's name for it is "bacterial LSU rRNA". It matches the Rfam family "Bacterial large subunit ribosomal RNA", at positions 1 to 2554 of the family's 2925-position model. The record is from RNAcentral.
GUAAGCUACUAAGAGCGAACGGUGGAUGCCUUGGCUAGUAGAGGCGAUGAAAGACGUGCCAGGCUGCGAUAAGUCUCGGGGAGCCGUCAAGGGGCUUUGAUCCGGGAAUUUCUGAAUGGGGCAACCCAAUACAUAGCGAUAUGUGUUACCAUUAAUGGAGCCAACGCGGGGAACUGAAACAUCUAAGUACCCGCAGGAAGAGAAAUCAAUAGAGAUUACGCUAGUAGCGGCGAGCGAACGCGUAAGAGGGCAAACCACUAGUUUACUAGUGGGGUUGUAGGACCGCAACAUAGACUAGGAUCUGAUAAUAGAACAAUCUGGAAAGGUUAGGCAUAGAGGGUGAUACUCCCGUAUAUGAAAUCACAUCCUUACUUAGCGGUAUCCUGAGUAGGACGGGACACGUGAAAUCCUGUCUGAAGCCGGGUCGACCACGAUCCAACCCUAAAUACUACUACUAGACCGAUAGCGUACAAGUACCGUGAGGGAAAGGUGAAAAGAACGGCGGUGAGCCGAGUGAAAUAGAACCUGAAACCGUUUGCUUACAAUCAUUCAGAGCACUAUGCUAUACUCUUUAAAAUUAAUCCAGCUUGGCUUUUUAGCCCUUUUUUAUGAAACUGCGACUGCGGCAGCCAGAUCCGGCUAGCCUUGCCUUGUUUCAUAAAAAAUCAUCUAAAAAUCCUGCGCAUUUGAAAUUCUAAAUUUUGAUCUGAUAAAAUUUCAUCAUAAAUGACACAAACAAAAUUUUAUAGUCUAAAUUUAGAGAUAACGAUUAGCGAUUAGUUUUAAUGAGUAUAGCAGUGUGAUGGACUGCCUUUUGCAUAAUGAGCCUGCGAGUUGUGGUGUCUGGCGAGGUUAAGGAAACCCGGAGCCGUAGCGAAAGCGAGUCUUAAUAGGGCGAUUAGUCAGAUGCUGCAGACCCGAAACGAUGUGAUCUAUCCAUGAGCAGGUUGAAGCCGGUGUAAGAGCCGGUGGAGGACCCAACCGACGGCCGUUGAAAAGGCUCCGGAUGACUUGUGGAUAGGGGUGAAAGGCCAAUCAAACAUCGUGAUAGCUGGUUCUCUCCGAAAUAUAUUGAGGUAUAGCGUCGUGUAGUAGUUAUAAGGGGUAGAGCACUGAAUGGGCUAGGGCAUACACCAAUGUACCAAACCCUAUCAAACUCCGAAUACUUAUAGCGUAACCACGGCAGUCAGGCGGCGAGUGAUAAAAUCCGUCGUCAAGAGGGAAACAACCCGGACUAACAGCUAAGGUCCCCAAAUCUCAUUUAAGUGGAAAACGAUGUGAAGUUACUGAAACAACCAGGAGGUUGGCUUAGAAGCAGCCAUCCUUUAAAGAAAGCGUAAUAGCUCACUGGUCUAGUGAUUUUGCGCGGAAAAUAUAACGGGGCUAAAAUGAGUACCGAAGCUUUAGACUUAGUUUUACUAAGUGGUAGGAGAGCGUUGCAUUCAGCGUUGAAGGUGUACCGGUAAGGAGCGCUGGAGCGAAUGCAAGUGAGCAUGCAGGCAUGAGUAGCGAUAAUUGGGGUGAGAAUCCCCAACGCCGUAAACCCAAGGUUUCCUACGCGAUGCUCGUCAUCGUAGGGUUAGUCGGGUCCUAAGCAAAGUCCGAAAGGGGUAUGCGAUGGAAAAUCGGUUAAUAUUCCGAUACCGAUAUCAGUGUGCGACGGAAGGACGCUUAAAGUUAGUGGAGCUAGCGGAUGGAAGUGCUAGUCUAAGGAAGUAGGUUGAGUUAUAGGCAAAUCCGUAACUCUUUAUCCGAGAUCUGAAAGGCUUCUGACGCUCUUCGGAGUAGAUGAAGAAUCCAUGAUACUAUCGAGCCGAGAAAAGUUUCUAAGUUUAGCUGAUAUCGCCCGUACCGUAAACCGACACAGGUGGGUGGGAUGAGUAUUCUAAGGCGCGUGGAAGAACUCUCUUCAAGGAACUCUGCAAAAUAGCACCGUAUCUUCGGUAUAAGGUGUGCCUAGCUUCGUUAAGAAUUUACUUCGUAAGCGAAGAAGGUUACAACAAAGAGUCCCUCCCGACUGUUUACCAUAAACACAGCACUCUGCUAACUCGUAAGAGGAUGUAUAGGGUGUGACGCCUGCCCGGUGCUCGAAGGUUAAUUGAUGACGUUAGCUCUGCGAAGCGUUUGAUCGAAGCCCGAGUAAACGGCGGCCGUAACUAUAACGGUCCUAAGGUAGCGAAAUUCCUUGUCGGUUAAAUACCGACCUGCAUGAAUGGCGUAACGAGAUGGGAGCUGUCUCAAAGAGGGAUCCAGUGAAAUUGUAGUGGAGGUGAAAAUUCCUCCUACCCGCGGCAAGACGGAAAGACCCCGUGGACCUUUACUACAGCUUGACACUGCUAUUGGGAUAAAAAUGUGCAGGAUAGGUGGGAGGCUUUGAUCCAUAGACGCCAGUUUAUGGUGAGCCGUUGUUGAGAUACCACUCUUUUUUAUUCUGAUAGCUAACUAGCUUGAGUUAUCCUCAAGUAGGACAAUGUCUGGUGGGUAGUUUGACUGGGGCGGUCGCCUCCCAAAAUGUAACGGAGGCUUACAAAGGUUGGCUCAAAGCGGUUGGAAAUCGCUUGCAGAGUAUAAAGGCAAAAGCCAGCUUAACUGCGAGACAUACACGUCGAGCAGAGACGAAAGUCGGUCUUAGUGAUCCGGUGGUUCUGUGUGGAAGGGCCAUCGCUCAAAGGAUAAAAGGUACCCCGGGGAUAACAGGCUGAUCUCCCCCAAGAGCUCACAUCGACGGGGAGGUUUGGCACCUCGAUGUCGGCUCAUCGCAUCCUGGGGCU